AUGUGCACUGAACAUUUGACAACAAGAGAAGAAGUGAAUUUUUUUUGCAAUGAGGUACUUUCUUUGGCUGAGAAUUGUGACUAUAGCUAUGAAAGAAAUUAUGACAGCGAAGAUUCUGAUGAAGAUUCAGUAGCUUGUGCUGGUAGUGAAGAUUAUGUGUUCCCUACACCAGAAGAAGCGGACCGUGCUAGUAGACCAGAAGUUGGUAUAGUAUUCUCAACAUUGGAUGAAUCGCUCAGGUUUGCAAAUGUAUAUGCUCAGUUGAAUGUGUUCGCAGUGAUAAAAGGGAGAAAUUACAAGAAUAGGAAAUUGUAUUUCCAAUGCAACAAAGGUAGGAAAAGACCAAGUGCCAACAGUGGUUUGAGGAAAAGGAAAAGAAACAUCAUUGAAGGUACAAAUUGUCCGAUGAAUAUUAUAGUGAAGUUGGUGGAUGACAAGUGGCACAUUGCAUCAGUUUCUCUUCAGCAUAACCAUGAUCUAGUGAGCUCACCAUCACUUACAAAAAUUUUCUUAAGCCACAGAAAUAUGAAUGAGGAAGAGAUAAUGUUGUCCAAGUUGCUCCAAGAACAACGAGUGAAACCUAGAAGAAUCAUGAGUAUAUUCCGAAGGCUAUGUGGUGGGAAGUUGGGAAACAAUACGUUUGAUGUGAAGAAGCUAGAUAACUUGAAACAGGGAGAACGAAUCCUUAAGAAAGAGAACACAGAUAUUGAAUGGACAUUGCAGUAUAUUGACAAGCUUCAAAUUGAUACUCCUGGUUUCUGCUAUAGGUUGCAAAGAGACACAGACAACACUGUCCUCGGCAUAUUUUGGACAGAUGCUCGAUUCCGAUUGAACUACAGGUUGUUUGGCAAAAUAAUCUCAUUUGAUACCACUUACAGCACAAACAAGUAUAACAUGCCUUUUGCACCUAUAGUUGGAAUUAAUGGACAUGGUAGAACAAUUGUUUUUGGUUGGGCCCUAUUGCAAGAUGAGACUUCAGAUACUUUUGAAUGGAUCUUUCAAACUUUUAUGGAGGUAAUGCAGUGGAAGAAACCAGGAAUAAUAUUGACAGACCAAGAUGCAGGGAUGAAAGCUGCUAUUCCUAAAGUUUUUCCAUAUGCUAUACAUAGGUUCUGUCUUUGGCAUAUAUUUAAGAAUGUCAGGGAAAAUAUGAGUGCAUUUAUGGCUACAAGGGAAAAAAUGGAGAAACAUAUGAUGAAGUGCUUGUUGUAG
RNAcentral lists this ribosomal RNA (1212 nucleotides) under Triticum aestivum (bread wheat). RNAcentral describes it as "partial small subunit ribosomal RNA". The record is from RNAcentral. Lineage: Eukaryota; Viridiplantae; Streptophyta; Magnoliopsida; Poales; Poaceae.